AAGAAAAAAAAGGCCCAAAACUCAACCGUCUUUGGGCCCAGGGGAAUGGCUCUUACAGAGCCUACGCUAAUCACUAAAGAGUCGUGUUGUGCUUUCCUUAUAAGUGUAGUCGGUAUGCACGCGUUAGCGAUGAU
Molecule: small RNA, 134 nt
Filed under: Vibrio aestuarianus
Lineage: Bacteria; Pseudomonadati; Pseudomonadota; Gammaproteobacteria; Vibrionales; Vibrionaceae
Source: RNAcentral